UGUAUUUAGAAUCUGUAAAAAUAAUA
RNAcentral lists this non-coding RNA (26 nucleotides) under Mus musculus (house mouse). Lineage: Eukaryota; Metazoa; Chordata; Mammalia; Rodentia; Muridae. The record is from RNAcentral.